Molecule: ribosomal RNA, 206 nt
Filed under: uncultured bacterium
Lineage: Bacteria
Description: partial 16S ribosomal RNA
Rfam family: Bacterial small subunit ribosomal RNA
Source: RNAcentral
UUGUAGUCUGCAACUCGCCUACACGAAGCUGGAAUCGCUAGUAAUCGCGGAUCAGCACGCCGCGGUGAAUACGUUCCCGGGCCUUGUACACACCGCCCGUCACACCAUGAGAGUCUGUAACACCCAAAGCCGGUGGGAUAACCUUUAUAGGAGUCAGCCGUCUAAGGUAGGACAGAUGAUUAGGGGUGAAGUCGUAACAAGGUACC